This 375-nucleotide ribosomal RNA is filed under the name uncultured organism. Its description in RNAcentral is "partial 16S ribosomal RNA". It matches the Rfam family "Bacterial small subunit ribosomal RNA", at positions 527 to 896 of the family's 1533-position model. The record is from RNAcentral.
GUAGGUGGCAAGCGUUGUCCGGAAUUAUUGGGCGUAAAGCGCGCGCAGGCGGUUCUUUAAGUCUGAUGUGAAAGCCCACGGCUCAACCGUGGAGGGUCAUUGGAAACUGGAGAACUUGAGUACAGAAGAGGAAAGCGGAAUUCCACGUGUAGCGGUGAAAUGCGUAGAGAUGUGGAGGAACACCAGUGGCGAAGGCGGCUUUCUGGUCUGUAACUGACGCUGAGGCGCGGAAGCGUGGGGAGCAAACAGGGAUUAGAUACCCUGGUAGUCCACGCCGUAAGCGAUGAGUGCUAAGUGUUAGGGGGGUUUUCCGCCCCCCUUAGUGCUGCAGCUAACGCAUUAAGCACUCCGCCUGGGAGUACGGCCGCAAGGCUG